This 1368-nucleotide ribosomal RNA is filed under the name Triticum aestivum (bread wheat). RNAcentral describes it as "partial small subunit ribosomal RNA". The record is from RNAcentral. Lineage: Eukaryota; Viridiplantae; Streptophyta; Magnoliopsida; Poales; Poaceae.
AUGACCCCCCUCAAGAACUCGCGCUCCGCCCUCUCCCGUCUCCUCCGCCACAAGCCCGCCGCCGGCCGGCCGCAGCCCCCGCCCCCGCCCUCGCCGGUGUUGGGGGAAACGGCCUUUCGGCACUACCACGCCGCCCCGCAGCGCCCAGGGUUCAUUCAAUCCUUCAGCCGAAGACCCCUCCGCCACGAGCCCGCCGCCCUCUUCCGGCCGCCGCCGGCGCAGGCGCAGGUGCCGCCACCCCGGCACUACUUCACCUCCUCUCGCCGCCCGGAGGUCAUCCACUUCACGCGCCGCCGCGGCGGCGCGCGGUGGUACCACGAUAGGCGGAAGGUCGCCGCGGUGGUCCUCCUCACCGGCGGCGGGGCCAUCGUCGUCUACUUCGGCAACCUCGAGACCGUGCCCUACACCAAUCGCACCCACUUCGUCCUCGUCUCGCCCCAGCUCGAGCGCCAGCUCGGCGAGUCCCAGUUCGCCGAUCUCAAGAAGGAGCUCGCCCCCAAGAUCCUGCCCCCGCUCCACCCCGACAGCGUCCGCGUCCGCCUCAUCGCCUCCGAGAUCGUCCGCGCGCUCCACCGCGGCCUCGCCGACCGCCGCAGCGACGACUUCGAUGACGCCUCCUACGGCGACAUCUCCACCGACAUCGCCGUCAAAGCCCGUGACUUGGAUCCCGAGGGCGUGAUGCAUCGGGUCUCGCCUGGCAAGACCGCGAGCACGGCCGCGAGGGCUCAGCGAGACGACGAGCUUCUCGAUGACAGGUGGGUGGCCGAGAGCCGGAGACGGGGGAAGGCACGUGGAGCGCAGCCACAGACGAAGCACCUCAAUGAGCUCAAUUGGGAGGUGAUCGUCGUCAGAGAUAAGCUCAUCAAUGCAAUGUGUUUGCCUGGUGGUAAAAUUGUAGUCUUCACUGGAUUGCUCGACCAUUUCAAGACAGAUGCUGAGAUUGCGACAGUGCUUUCGCAUGAGAUUGGGCACGCUAUCGCGAGGCACUUGCCAGAGAUGAUCACCAAGGGCAUGUGGUUUACUAUCCUGCAGCUUAUCGUCCUACAGUUUAUUUACAUGCCAGACUUAAUUAAUGCAAUGUCGACAUUACUCCUCAGACUGCCCUUCUCACGAAGGAUGGAGGUAGAGGCAGAUCACAUCGGGCUCAUGCUUCAAGCAUCUGCUGGUUUUGACCCACGCACCGCUCCCAAGGUCUACGAGAAGCUAGGACAAAUCGCGGGCAAUCAAUCAGUACUGAAAAGCUACCUCUCUACUCAUCCUUCGAGUAAGAAGCGAUCGGAGCUCUUGUCUCGAGCCAAGGUAAUGGAGGAGGCGAUGCAGCUAUACAGGGAAGCUUGCGCCGGCCACGGGACCGAAGGUUUCCUCUAA